GACGAACGCUGGCGGCGUGCUUAACACAUGCAAGUCGAACGGAAAGGCCCUGCUUUUGUGGGGUGCUCGAGUGGCGAACGGGUGAGUAACACGUGAGUAACCUGCCCUUGACUUUGGGAUAACUUCAGGAAACUGGGGCUAAUACCGGAUAGGAGCUCCUGCUGCAUGGUGGGGGUUGGAAAGUUUCGGCGGUUGGGGAUGGACUCGCGGCUUAUCAGCUUGUUGGUGGGGUAGUGGCUUACCAAGGCUUUGACGGGUAGCCGGCCUGAGAGGGUGACCGGCCACCUUGGGACUGAGAUACGGACCAGACUCCUACGGGAGGCAGCAGUGGGGAAUAUUGCCCAAUGGGCGGAAGCCUGAUGCAGCAACGCCGCGUGCGGGAUGACGGCCUUCGGGUUGUAAACCGCUUUCGCCUGUGACGAAGCGUGAGUGACGGUAAUGGGUAAAGAAGCACCGGCUAACUACGUG
RNAcentral lists this ribosomal RNA (468 nucleotides) under uncultured bacterium. RNAcentral's name for it is "partial 16S ribosomal RNA". It matches the Rfam family "Bacterial small subunit ribosomal RNA", at positions 28 to 507 of the family's 1533-position model. The record is from RNAcentral.